AGAAGAUAGCAGCUUCAGUUAAAAAAUAUUUUUUGGAGCACUUAGCAGAGUGAGUUAGAAAGCUUAGUGGCCUUCAUUGGUGGGAGAGGACUAAAGAGAAAUGCACGAAGCAAUUUAGGUGAGAGCAGUUGAAGUUUAGGGUAAAACAGGUCGAUAGUGACAUUAGAUUAUGGGGAUUAGUUGCCAGAGUUCUUUUGCGUACAACCGCCUUUUGAAAGCUUGCUUCUCUGCCCCCAUCCUUGUCCAAUUUUGUGGGCUUUGCUUCCUACUUGAACUUUUUGAUUGUGCUGCCUUCUUAAAGGCUGUUUAUUGCUGAUUUUUUUGUGUCGAAACUUGACAUUUUUGCAUGUAGAAUUUGUUUCAAAUACUAUCCAAAUCUCCCUCUUCAGUUUAUGGGGGGAGAAAAAGAGCCUUUCUUGUGUACCAAAUUCAACCCUUCCAUUUUGAUGUCAAUUCUGACUUUACUGAGGAUAUCCUUGACUUUCAUGUUAAAUAAAUUUAACCUUCUCACUUUUUGCUUUCCUUGACUGACUUAUUUGGUUUCCUGAAGCUAAAAUAUCAAGAUUUUUUUUUUUCUUUUCUCUCUUUCGCAAAUACAAAUCUCUCUAAAACACUCAGAGAUCUAGUUGGGGAAUUUAAUAAGGUUUUCCUUGUUAUUUGGUUGUACUAUUCUGAGACUGUCCGUUGGGAAUUUCGUUUACCCAUAAGAGAAUGACAUGCUAACAUAAAGCGAUUGCAAAUUUUAUUUCUAAACUAAUAUGAAUAUGUCCAUGUGAUUACUUAAAUGUGAAUGUGUAAUUUACAUAAAGAUUUUAAAAGGAGUAGUUCUCAAACCUAUGGAUGUAUAUAUUAAUUUAUUCUUACCUAUAUUAUUUUGGGGGUAGUAAGAUGGGGCACAUGGAGAAUUUUAAAAAGCAUUUUCCUAUUAUCUGUAUUUCCUAAACAUUAUGGGAUAAUAAGGUUGGAAUAGAGAGAGAAAAUUGCAAACAUACCCUGACUUUCCACUGGCUGGAUGCACAUUAUCUUUAUCUUUAUUUAUUAAUAAAAGAUGGAAUGCCUUGGAAAACAAAGGUUUUAAUGGCCGGUGCUUGGUAUCCUUGACAACGGUCCCGAAAGAAUAUUACAUUAGGGCACCAGAGAACUUUUAAAAAUAAGUAAUGGAAUUCCGUCUCUGUUAUGCUUUUAGUAGUCAUUUCGGCCAUGGUGCAGCGAGGUCAUAAGCUGAGCUCAGUGAAGGGAGCCAGAACAUGAAAUGAUGCUGAGAGAACGUCUGGGAGAUGAGAGGUCACAUUGAAUGUGAAGAAUAUUAACACUGGCAACAACUCUACAACUGACUGUUUUAUCUACCAGAAUGUCAGUUUUUAAGAAAAUCUUAGUGUUUAGAAACAAAAAAUCAAGAAAAAUCCUAGGUAUAUGUAUUUUGAUAUAUUUAUAAUGGAUUCAUCACAUUAUCUUUUCAGGCAUUAAAAUAUACUAUACAGAAUGUCAAAAUAUUACCAGAAUGUAAGCUAGCAUUCUUUGAGUGGGUAUUUUGGUUCUGAAAAGUAUGCUUAAAUAUUACAGGUGUUUAAAUUAAAAAUGUCAAACCAUGAAGGCAUAAUGGAAGUAAUCAUUUUUACAUAGUUUUAAGCAGUACAGGAUUUGAAAAAAGCUUUGCAUGCCAGACUAUUGUGAAUGAGUGGAGUUCAUAAGAAUUCAAAGGACAAAAGAGAUCAUUAUGCUUUGUUACCUCAGCUAGUUCAUUACCUUAAUUGCUGAGCUUAAUCCAGUCUUGGAAGAAAACUCUGGGGCUUUCAGAAGAUCAACACCGGCACCUUAUGGCACGGAAAAUGGAAACUCUUUCCUGUACCAUUGCUACUCCAGGAACACUAAACCUUGAUCAAAGGCUGAACUUUUCUUAAGGUCGGCCAUUGAACAUCCCCUGGAGCUGUACCAUUCGCUGAACCGUAAUGAAGUUUAGUAGGUUCAGCACCAUUUCUCCCUGACUGUGACCGUCCUGGAUCACUGGCUAGCAAUAGCAUGUUAUCAGCCUUUCAGAUAGGUGAGGUUUAAACAUAGUUAUGGUUAGUAGUAUAGUAUGCUUAAAAAACAAAAAACAAAAAAAAAACUCCUUGCAUAUUAUAGGAACUGAACAAACUACUACUGAUAAUGUAACUACUUUCAUCAGGAAGCAGGAUGUGGUGAUUUUUAUUUCAGUCCUUUUGAGGGGACUGAUUGCCUAUUGUUUUCUGUACCUAAAUCUCUCAGAAAAUCUUGUAAAUUUCUUAACCAAUAUUCUUUUCCAGAAAGUCAUUUACGAUGUAGUAUGGAUGCAACUGUGAAAUGAUUCAGUAUUGUCUGAAUUACCCGGGCAACAACUUAGCUUAUUUUUUGAGGAUAGUUUUUACUUACAGAAUGUAUACAGUUGCAUACAUUAGGCUUUGAAAAAAUAGACUAAAAAAAAAAAAGACCUUUAAAAGCAUGGUCGAGUUGCAUUCAUUUUAUAACCAUCAAAACAACUCUGUACUGUUGUAAGGUAGAAAAAUCAAUGAUGCAAUCUUUUUCCUUUUGCCUCGUGCAAUCCGUAAUUGAAAUGGAAAAUCAAAUGAACGGCUAACAGAUAAUUGUUUUAUCAAUAUUCCCUGCCUGCCCUACAAGGGUCAGCGUAGAAUGAUCAUGAGCCAGGGAUAUGAUGAGGACAAAAUGUGAAAUUGAACAGCAAGGAGGCAAUAAAUCAGCCUUGACAAGAAAGAGUGACCAGCAUGUAGCUGUUGUAGGCAGCUUUGGGGACAGUUUGUGUCUCAGGUGUCUGCCCUGAUUUAAAAAUGUGAGUAUAUAAUAUUUGAAGCUUUGCCACCAUUAAGCCUGGCUAUUUCUAGAUCAUAGUACCAUGAGACAAUAUACUACUUAAGAAAACCCAAGUGAGUACUAGGACCAGAAUAAAUUAAAGAAAAGAAAAAAGAAAUAAAAAUGUUGAAAUAAAUUUUCAAAAUUUAGGUAUUCUAUGCUGAUAGUUGUUUGACUAAUUUUUAAAUGUAAUAAAUGACUUUUUUUUGCAUUGUUGCAUUCAUGCAGUAGGCCUUGAUGUAAAAUGAAACUAAUUCACUGAAUUUGUCUAAAUAUAUUCUAUAGAGUUUGUAAAGAUAAAGUAAAUAAUAAUUUCUUUUUUUUAAUUUCGAGAGGAAUUAUGUGAGUUGAAGAUGGCAUCUGAGGAAGGAAGAUCCCCCCCCCAAAAAAACAUGAAGUAUCUGCUCAUGAUUUCUUUAAUUUUCUUUAUUUUCCUGUCAUCUAGAAAUGAUUAUAGACAUGGCAGAGAAACACCAUUAUAAAUACUUAGUAGUUGCAAAUAGUAUAUAUGAUUAUGGGAUUAAUAUUACUGCUCAUGUCCACAUUAAAACUAGAUAAUUUCAGACAUUAUCAAAACAUGCCUUUUAAGAGUUGAGUUUAUUCCGUGUAGAUGAAGGUGUAGGGAAAUAUGGACUGUUACACAUGUUGCUUAUAGGAGUGUAAACUGGCACAAAUUUUAAGGCCAUUUAAGUAAUGAGUGUAUUUCAAAAUCCUUAAACAGAUUCAUUCUCAAAUAGUUUACUUUUAGAAGUUAAUACUGAGGAAACAAUCAGAUGUAUACAUAAAGAUACACAUACAGGGAUGGUCACUGUAGCAAGAUUCUUACUCUCUCAAACUUUUAUUAAGGUAAAUUUUAAGCCACACAACUGAAGAUAGGCUAGUAGAACCCCAUCACCCAGCACAAUCAAUGCAUGGCCAAUCCUACCCCAUUCUUACCUCCAUCAACUUUAUCCAUCCCAUAUUUCUUAAGGUAAAUCCAAGAAAUAUUAUUUCACUUGUAAAUAUUUCAGUAUGUACCUCUAAGAAAUAAGGAGUUAAAAAAUAAUAAUUUAGUCCCUGUACCAUUAUUACACCAAAAAUUAAUAAUUUCUUAAUGUCAUCAUGUAUCUGAACAGUUUGUUUGAAUCAGGGCACAGAUAAAGUCUAUCCAUUGUAAUUGGUUAAUAUAUUCUUUUAAGUCUUUUUUAAUUUAAAGGUUCUUUUCAAUUUCUUCUUUUUUUCCUUGCACUUUUUUGUUGGACAUUGGUUUUUUGUUCUGUAAUUUUCCAGUGGAUUUUGCUGAUUACAUCCCCAUGGUAUAGUUUCACAUGUUUCUCUGUUCUUUGUAUUUCCUGUAAAUUGGCAGUUGGAUCUAUAGCCUUAAUCAGAGUAAGCUCUAAUUUUUUUUCUUUGCAAGAUUGUUUCGUAGGUUAUGUUCUUAUAUCAAGUGGCACAUAAUGUCUGCCUUUCUCUCUUUUUUAUGAUGUCACCAGCUCAGUGCCUAGAUCUGUUAGUUUAUUUGGAGUUUGUAAAAUGGAGAUACUCUGUUAUUCCUUUUUCAUUUCUUAGUUGGAAUCAUUUAUACGGAGAAGCUUCCCUGUAUUUACUAUUUGGUCACUUAAUGAUUGAGUAUGGAACAUUAUUCCUAAUAGGACAAAAUUGAAAACAACCUUAAUGUCUAAUAAUAGGUGAUUUGGUUGACUUAUGCUACAGCCAUAUGGUAGAAUAUCAUAUAAUUAUUUUAAAUCAUGUUUUAGAAGAAUACCUAAUAAUAUGGAAUGUGUUCAAUAUAUUAAAUUUAAAAAGUAGUUUUAAAAACAGUAGUAUAACAUGUUCCUGGAUUUUUUUCCCCAAGUACUUCCAUAUAGGAAAAAAAUGCCAAAAGAAUAAAGACCAAAACAUAUUGCAUAAUGGUUACCUCUCAGUAGUGUAAUUAUGAUUUUUAAAUAUUUUCUUCUUUAUACUUGUCUGUAUUUUUCAGCUUUUCCACAGAGGUCAUGUAUUCAUUUUAUAAUACAUUUUUUUUCUUAACUAUUUUCUUCAAAUGAGCAAAAAGGGCCCAGGGACUGUGUUUACUCUAGUAGGUUAUCUUGUCAAGUCUUUUAACCCAUGAAUUUAACCUUUAGAAUGGCUGUAAUUACAGAGGCACAAAUAGAUUUUGCAACCUAAAUUAAGUGCUAUCUUUAGCUUUUUGAGGUAGGUGUGUUUCUUAUUAUCUUUAUGUGCCCAGUUUGCCUUGCACAGGACUUGGUAUAGAACAGCAUCGGUAAAUGCAUGUUGAAUUGAAUAGGUACUAGAGUAGGCUGACAUAGAGUCGUUGCUGGCCUAACAUGUUGACAUUCAUGUCCAGUUUCUUAUUGCUCUUUUAUCCUGCAUAACUUACUUAACUUACACAGAGUGAAAUAUUUACACCUCUGCUUUAGAGAGCUAAUAAUCUCUAGUUUGGAGCCUGUGGACUUCACAUAGAGUGUUUCAGAUGUUCCAUACUGUCUCUUAAAUAGUGAUCUGUCCUUCUAAAUCAUCUAAAAUCACCUCAUUGUAUAGUCUCUUGGUUCCAACAGUUUUCUUUUUACAUUUGGUUUUCUGUUUUGUUCUAUUUUUUUUGAUUUUUUAGUUUUUCAAGGGGAAAUUCAUUGUCUAUAUGAUUUACUUUGAAACUUGAUGACGUCUAGAUGAUCAUAUCUAGUUUCAUGUGUCAUUAUUUUGUCUUCCUAUGAAAACUCUUGUGUUUUAUUUCUUAUUUUCUUCUCAGUAUCUAGCACUGGGCUAUUCUGAUGGCAGAUGCUCAAUAAAUAGUUGUUGAAUUACUUAGAAUGUUGCUAUUGGAUUAUUGAUAUAAAGGUUAAGUAUUAUUAUGGUCAGUAAUUUUUAGGUUGAAAAAGAUGCAAGAAAAAUAAGUUUUUUUUACUACAUUGUCCUCAAAAUUUAGUGUGGAAUUAGAAAUAGAAAGUUCUUUAAAGUUCUAGUUCUUUCAAAAAAUAUUUACUGACUAUCUAAUAUGUGUCAGGCAUUGUUCUAGGUUGUGGAGAUAAAGCAAUGAACAAAACAGUCAAAAAUGCCUUUCUUUUUCUUGUGGCUCUCAUCAUCCAUAGAUUUCUACCAUAUAUAUUCUGUGAUACUAUAUAAUGGUUCCCAUGGAGCCUUCAGCAACAUUUUAAAUAUGUACUGAAGAUUGAUCUAGAGCCAACUAGUGAAAAUUAGUACCGAUUAGCUUUUAUAUGGUUUUACUGCUGGUUGUGUAAUAGCUUGGUAGUGAGAAGAAAGGAAAGAAACAUUUAUUGAACACUUACUAUGUGCCAGGCACUCUUUAGGAGUUUUGACAUACCUUAUGUCAUUUAAUCUUCAUAGAAGCCCUGAAAGGCAGGUAUCGUUUCCAUUUUCAUAACGAGAAAAUUCAGUCUCAGAGAUAUUAAGUAGUUUGCCCAGGAUCACAUAGCUAAUGAGUGACAGAGCCUUACUCAAACAAAAAUCCUUCUAAUUUCAAAGUGUUUCUUUACCAUGUUUCUAAUUCCAAAGUGUUUCAUUACCAUGUUUCGUUGAUUCUAAGAUGUUCAUUUUCUCCCCACAUUUAAACGUUUCUGAAAUCAGUAUGCUUCUUUCACAAUUAAUGUCAUGUCAUAGUUUAAUUGGCAGAAUUUUUUCUUUCUCUACAGUAGCACAUAAAAUCAUGGUUGAGUCUUACAACUGAUGAUGUCUUUGAUGAAAUAUAAUUAUGUACAUUUUGGUAACACCCUAGAGAUUUAUAUACAUCGUACUUCCUAAAGGCUCUGAAGAAGCUAUUUGAAUUGUCAGAAUAUUAAUUUGUUUUUAAUAGUUUAGAAUAUGUUAGAUAAAUACUUACAGUUGACUUUGCAAGUUUUUUCUUUUUACUUAUUCUGUGGCGUAACUAUGUUUGGGUGUUUUGGGAACAUCUGUUAACAUAUCAGCAAACUGUAGGUACAAGGGUAAGUCAAAAAGCAUUGCUGCUGGGGUUCCAGUUCAUACAUGCACGGGCUUAUUCCAAACAAAACAUGUUUAAACAUGUCUCUUUAGUCAGUGGAUGGUUGCACAUAAAUUCUCUCAGUAAUACACUUGUCUUAGUUUUAUUAGGAUCCCUUCGAAAAAAAAAAAAAGGAUACUUUUUGUGUAAUGGCAAACAAUGAUUUUGAGGUCAGGGCUAAUAUAAAGUUUUUAACAAAGCUCAAGUGGACAUCUUCCCAAAUCAUUGAAGCUUUGCCACAAGUUUAUGGGAAUGUUGCUGCACAUAAAACAACAGUUUUUAGAUGGGUCAAACGUUCUAAGGAAGGUUCGGAAGACUCACUUACAAGGUUAUGGUGACUGUUUUUUGGGAUUCCAAAGUGGUAAUCUUGAUAGAUUUUCUCGAAGGACACAGGACAAGCAUGAGGGCUUAUUAUGAAGAAGUUUUAAGAAAAUUGAAAACUGCACUGGUAAGAAAAAGGCCAGGAAACUGGCACUGAGGAAUUUUUUUCCAUCAGGGCAGUGCACCUGCUCAUCCUUCUAGGGUAGCUGUCCUACAAGAAUUAUGUUGGGAAACCUUACCCCAUCCACCCUACAGCCCUUAUCUUGACCCUUCAUACUUCUUUUUGUUCCCAAAACUCAAAGAGCGUUUAAAAGGAACACGAUUUGGGUCCCCCAGGGAUGCCAACACUACCGUUUUGACAUGGUAUAAACUGAAGAGUGCAGAAUUCUUUGGGGAAGGGUUAGUUAGAGAGAUGGAAACACCACCUUCAGGAAUGUGUGGACCUAAAUGGAAGAUAUGUCGAUAAAACAAUAGCUUUUCAUUUUGAUAUUUUUGUUUACUAAAGGUUUCUAUGAUUUUGUAGCAGUACUUUUUGACUUGCUCUCCUAUAUUAGGUUAUGAGUAUAUUUUGAAGAAUUACAUAUUAUAUGCGUUCUGUUAUAAUGUGUAAUGGUUCCAAAGGAGCCAUCAGGCUUUUCAAGUCAUUAACUCGCUUUUUUUAAGCCCUUAAAUAUAUAUUUAAAUGAAUCACUAACUGAUUUCAAGAUCUAUGUCUCUAUUUCUUUUGUAAUUAACACUGGCAAGAGGCAACCUAGUAGAAAUUAAUAUACGAAUUGUAGUUUAUAAGCUUACUGACAAAAAUAAAGUGAAAAAUGCCUAGUUUCUUUGAGUUUUAUUUUACUCCAUCUAUUUCCUUGAGUGUCUGCAGAAUUUUCUAGAGAUGGGAGGUUUGGCACAAUUUGGAACAUAUGUGUCUUUGAGUUUCAUGUGUUGUUCUAACUGAUGUCAAAAGGAGUUUUUGUACGGGCAGUCUGAAGGCAGUCCAUGGCAUUUAGUAUCUAGAAGUUGAGAAUUAAGUUUGAGAGAAAUGCUGACUUGUGCUGUUUUUUGUUUUUUUUAAUUUUUAUUGUGCUUUAAGUGAAAGUUAACAAAUCAAGUCAGCCUCUCAUACAAAAUUUAUAUACACCUUGCUAUAUACUCCUAGUUGCUCUCCCCCUAAUGAGACGGUAUACUCCUCUCCACCCUCUAUUUUCAUGUCUAUUCAGCCAGCUUCUGUCCCCCUUCUGCCUUCUCAUCUCCCCUCCAGACAGGAGCUGCCCACAUAGUCUCAUAUGUCUACUUGAUCCAAGAAGCUCACUCUUCACCGGUAUCAUUUUCUAUCUUAUAGUCCAGUCCAAUCCCUGUCUGAAGAGUUGGCUUUGGGAAUGGUUCCUGUCUUGGGCUAACAGAAGACCUGGGGACCAUGACCUCCGGGGUCCUUCUAGUCUUAGUCAGACCAUUAUGACUUGUGCUUUUUUGACAUGGUUUAUCUUUUGAAAAAUACUGAUACUUUUCAUAGCAUUUCUUACUAAUUAUUUAAAUAUCCAAACCACAGAAAACAUUAUUGUUUUCAUGUAAUAAGUAGUCUUUAGGUCAGGUAGUAUGUGAUUGGUAUAAGAAUUCAUUUACAUUAAGAAAAUUAGAACUCUUUUAAGAUUCAGUAAGAAUAAUAAAUUCUGUAAUGUACUGAGAAAUUAUAAUUUACUAAACUUCUCCCCUUAUUUUUUUACAGAAGUAUAAAUAGCAUAUGAAUUGUUUAUAAGCCUUAUAAAAGCUAAAGAAAACUCUUUGAGAAAGUCAACAUUUUAAAUCAUGCUAAGUCUCUUCCUAUUUUUACUCAUCCUCUUGCAGAGCAUUGACAAAAAUAUGAAAUUGAUUUGGUUGAAGGGUGUUAAAGAGCCGACAGCCAAAUGUCACAAACAAUGAAUGGCCGCAGUGUUGAAAAAAUCAAUAGGGAGGUUAAGCUGGUCUUGUGAAAGACUUGGCAGGCUGCUCUGUUCCAGGAAGAUAUCUGUCUUCUGGGCUUGGUUGCAUGAUCAAAAGGAAAACUUGAUAGGUUUAAUGAAUGGAGAUACUGUAAAACUGACAACAGAAAUAUAGACACUGUGGUAAACUGUAGUGCACAUCAGUGAACAGAGCUAUUAGAUACAUUUUUCAGUCUGAAAAAAAUAUUAUAGGUAGAGAUGUCAAAAAUAUUAACAUUCUUUUACUUUUUUAUUGAUUCCUCUAUCAGCUAAUAAAUUUGCCUGAAGUAGACAAAGGUUUGUAUUUGGCUAAGUGUACAAUAAGAUGUUAAAUGUAUUGGACACAAUAAAUAAUUGCUGGGUUAAUCAGUAAACCAGUUUUUCAAAUCUGUUCAUUAUAACGUUUAAAAUCUGAAUCAAAAUUACUUUUGUUAGAUUAAGAGCCUGGGUAAAAAAGGCAGCCAUUGACAUGUCAAUGAAAAUAGAAGCUCCGUCAUUGAAAACCAAAGUGGGAUUUAUGAUUCAUUAGUUUACCCCACAGGCCAUUAGAAGAUAUUUUACAGAAGCAUCCUCUUUUACACUUUUAUUGAUAAACAGUAUGUUGGUCUAAAAAUGCUUCACUGUGAUUGUUCUGAUCAGAGCUGUAUAUUCUGAAGUAUGACAUUUUAAUUGAUAUCAAAUAAGAUUAAAAUCAUUUAUAGAUCAUAUUUCCUUGCAGUUUAUUGUAGUUCAUUGUUUAUCAGCUGCAUACCGAGUAAUAUCUUAUAUCUGCAGUAUUUUUUACCCGAAUUUCUUAACAACUCUUGUUAUGCUAUGAAAUCAGUUAUUUCUUGGGUGUUCUUUAUGCUAGGUGCUGAUAUAAGCUUUUUAAUUAAAGGCAUUUGUUUCUAAGUUUAGAGAUUUCAAAAAUUUUUUGGUGCUUUUAAAAAAAAAAUAGCUCUGUAUUAUUUUAUUAGCCAUCAUUAGAUGUGGCAGUCUCUUUGUGUAAGUCUGAGUUUAAGAAAAAUCAGUUAUUAGUUUAAAAUUUCUAAAUGUGAUAUUCAAUUCAGAGAAGAUGGUAACCUGUUUAAAAACAAAAAGACAAAUAAAAAGAGAAGAAGAAAAAAAAGGGAAAGAUGUCUGGCAGAUUUUCUGCAACUGGACGCUGUAAUAAAAAUGCCCCCUACUUUGUUGGGAUGGUAUUUGGAGGGUUGCUGCCAUAUGUUACUUUCCUUUUUAGCUGGGAUUAUGCCAUCAUUAUUGCUGAUAAAAGCUGUUUACUGCCUUGGCAAAGGAAUGAUGCUUGGAGCAGUUUUGGAAAACGCCAUUCAGUUUACAAAAAAGUUCAUUUAGUGCCAGAUGCUAGAAUCCUAGGUCUUUGUUAUCUUUUCCCAUUAUUAGAUCUAUCUAUUGUCUAUUUCUUUUUUCCAUUUUAUAACAGAAUGUUGUCUCUUACUACCUGUUUUAAUUCAAGCCAUUAAUGUGGAAGGUUAUCUAAAUUAUUGCAUUCCCAAUGUUAAUUGGGUCAGUACUAAAGAUGGGCAAUUUGGCUUUUAGAACCACUGACUAGAUUUGGAAUAAAUGCUGUAGUGUGCAGUGAGAUUCUGGUUUCUAAACACUCUGAAUGUGUAUUUUUUUUUAGUACCACUGGACAUCAAGGAGAAGUUGGUUUAGUAUUUGAAUAAACUGUUGGCUAAUGUGCAGUCUCUCGAAGCAUUGAAGAAGAGGGUUAUUUUGGCUCGGUUUGUCAAACGUUUUUAUGCUGUUAUGCAACAUGUUAAAUUUGAAAAAUAAAAAUUCUAAUGCUGUUUUCAAGAAAUGUUACAUCACAGUUAUAACUUUUUGUAAGAGUUUUUUCAUUUAGUUUUCUGAAAUCUGCUUUUAAGCACAAUAUUUGGUAGUGACUGUGUGAUUGGAUCGGUCUGCUUCAUGAAUUUGUAAAUGCAAAUAACAAAUAACUUUUUUGGUGAAAAUUAGGAUUUAGUACCUAGGCCUUUUGGUACAUGCUUAAUACUCUAGUCUAAGGCAAGGAAAUUGUUUUGUUUUCUGCCAGUGUUUUAUUAAGAUACCUUUAUCUUUAGGUCUCUAAGUUAAUCCUCCUCUUUCUCAGUUUACAGAACUGUUCUGUGAAGUCACUAUUUGUAUAGUAUGUGACUUAUUGGCUCACCCAGAGGUCAACCCUUUACCUUGGCCAUGUUGGCAUUGUUUUUCAACCAUUUAUUUCCAGACCUCAGAAUUCAAAUUGUACUCCUAGCUUGAGUUUAGAAUUACUUUAAGUGCAAAAAUUAACUCCUGUAAAUAAUGCUGACAAAUUAGAGUCUCUCUGGCUUAUCUCAAAAUGUAACCCAUAGUUCUAUACAUAGUUUUCCUAGCUAUACUUUUAUAUUUUCUCUGUCACCAGGAGGACUAGGUCCAAAAAUUUGUAUAAAAAUCACACUCUUAGUGAAAUCAUU
Molecule: long non-coding RNA, 11480 nt
Organism: Loxodonta africana (African savanna elephant)
Lineage: Eukaryota; Metazoa; Chordata; Mammalia; Proboscidea; Elephantidae
Exons: 2
Source: RefSeq, a predicted model, not a curated record